This 389-nucleotide ribosomal RNA is filed under the name Klebsiella michiganensis. RNAcentral's name for it is "bacterial SSU rRNA". It matches the Rfam family "Bacterial small subunit ribosomal RNA", at positions 1 to 394 of the family's 1533-position model. Lineage: Bacteria; Pseudomonadati; Pseudomonadota; Gammaproteobacteria; Enterobacterales; Enterobacteriaceae. The record is from RNAcentral.
AAGAGUUUGAUCAUGGCUCAGAUUGAACGCUGGCGGCAGGCCUAACACAUGCAAGUCGAACGGUAGCACAGAGAGCUUGCUCUCGGGUGACGAGUGGCGGACGGGUGAGUAAUGUCUGGGAAACUGCCUGAUGGAGGGGGAUAACUACUGGAAACGGUAGCUAAUACCGCAUAACGUCGCAAGACCAAAGAGGGGGACCUUCGGGCCUCUUGCCAUCAGAUGUGCCCAGAUGGGAUUAGCUAGUAGGUGGGGUAACGGCUCACCUAGGCGACGAUCCCUAGCUGGUCUGAGAGGAUGACCAGCCACACUGGAACUGAGACACGGUCCAGACUCCUACGGGAGGCAGCAGUGGGGAAUAUUGCACAAUGGGCGCAAGCCUGAUGCAGCCA